Long non-coding RNA from Armigeres subalbatus, 294 nucleotides. RefSeq lists it as uncharacterized. The transcript is spliced from 3 exons. Lineage: Eukaryota; Metazoa; Arthropoda; Insecta; Diptera; Culicidae. The record is from RefSeq and is a predicted model, not a curated record.
GUUAGAUUUUGGUGGAUUGCUCGAGAAAGUUACGGUUCUUGAUGCUCAUUAUUUAGUUGAUUAUUUGGAUCGUAAAUUGUUUAUUGCACUGAACAAAAAAAGUUCCUGCUGGUUGGAUUUGUGGCAGUCAGACGGGUUGUUGUCGAUUUUUCUUCGUCAACAUGGUUCUGAUGCACGGAUGCGGCUUAAUUCCGGACACGCGCGACCAGAAUAUAUGUAGUAUGAAGUGUACUAUGUACUAAGUGUUUUAUAGUUUCUUCUGAAGUUUAAUCUGUUAAUAAUAUUGCUUCUGAA